GAGCUCCCAUGGCGCCUGUUUAUCAAAAACAUUUCUAAUUGCUUCAUAAUUAGUAAGGCCUGCUCAAUGAAAAUUAAAUAGCCGCAGUAACCUGUGCUAAGGUAGCACAAUCAUUUGCCUUUUAAUUGAAGGCUAGCAUGAAAGGUUUUACAUGUAAAAUACUUUAUUAUUCAAGCUGCUUGAAAUUUACCUGCAAAUAAAAAGGUUUGCAUUUUAAUGAGGGACGACAAGACCCUAUCGAACUUAACUUAAAGUUUUACUGGGGCGGUAAAAAAACAAAAUCUUUCUUUUUUAUCUGAAAUUACCAUAUCCUAUUUAUUAUAUUAAACUAGUUACCGUAGGGAUAACAGCAUAAUUUUUUUUAAGAGACCUUAUCAUAAAAAAAGAUUGUGACCUCGAUGUUGAAUUAAAUUCCUCUUAAGUGAAAAAGCUUAAAAAGAAAGUCUGUUCGACUUUUAAUUAUUUACGUGAUCUGAGUUCAGACCGGCCAUGGGAGCUC
This 499-nucleotide ribosomal RNA is filed under the name Latouchia typica. Its description in RNAcentral is "partial 16S ribosomal RNA". It matches the Rfam family "Bacterial large subunit ribosomal RNA", at positions 1782 to 2632 of the family's 2925-position model. Lineage: Eukaryota; Metazoa; Arthropoda; Arachnida; Araneae; Ctenizidae. The record is from RNAcentral.